This 1394-nucleotide ribosomal RNA is filed under the name uncultured prokaryote. RNAcentral's name for it is "partial 16S ribosomal RNA". It matches the Rfam family "Bacterial small subunit ribosomal RNA". The record is from RNAcentral.
ACCGGCGCACGGGUGAGUAACGCGUAUGCAACCUACCUGUAACAGGGAGAUAGCCCAGGGAAACUUGGAUUAAUACCGUAGUAUUUCAAAGUGGCAUCACUUUGUUUUUAAAGCUUUCGAGCGGUUACAGAUGGGCAUGCGUGCCAUUAGUUAGUUGGUAAGGUAACGGCUUACCAAGACAUUGAUGGCUAGGGGGUCUAAAAGGAUGGUCCCCCACACUGGUACUGAGACACGGACCAGACUCCUACGGGAGGCAGCAGUGAGGAAUAUUGGGCAAUGGGUGCAAGCCUGACCCAGCCAUGCCGCGUGCAGGAUGACUGCCCUACGGGUUGUAAACUGCUUUUCUGCGUGAAGAAAAAGAGUUACGAGUAACUCAUUGACGGUAGCGUAGGAAUAAGCAUCGGCUAACUCCGUGCCAGCAGCCGCGGUAAUACGGAGGAUGCAAGCGUUAUCCGGAUUUAUUAGGUUUAAAGGGUGCGUAGGCGGGACUUUAAGUCAGUGGUGAAAUCCUGCGGCUUAACCGCAGAACUGCCAUUGAAACUAUUGUUCUUGAGUUCAGUUGAGGCAGGCGGAAUGUGUAAUGUAGCGGUGAAAUGCAUAGAUAUUACACAGAACACCGAUUGCGAAGGGAGCUUGCUAAACUGACACUGACGCGGAGGCACGAAAGCGUGGGGAGCGAACAGGAUUAGAUACCCUGGUAGUCCACGCCGUAAACGAUGAUUACUCGUUGUUGGCAAUAUAGGGUCAGCGACUAAGCGAAAGCAUUAAGUAAUCCACCUGGGGAGUACGUUCGCAAGAAUGAAACUCAAAGGAAUUGACGGGGGCCCGCACAAGCGGAGGAACAUGUGGUUUAAUUCGAUGAUACGCGAGGAACCUUACCUGGGCUUAAAUGUAGAAUGACCGGCUUAGAAAUAGAUAUUUCUUCGGACGAACUACAAGGUGCUGCAUGGUUGUCGUCAGCUCGUGCCGUGAGGUGUCGGGUUAAGUCCCAUAACGAGCGCAACCCCUAUUACUAGUUGCUAACAGGUAAUGCUGAGGACUCUAGUGAGACUGCCACCGUAAGGUGAGAGGAAGGUGGGGAUGACGUCAAAUCAGCACGGCCCUUAUGUCCAGGGCUACACACGUGUUACAAUGGCAGGUACAAAGGGCAGCUACACGGCGACGUGAUGCUAAUCUCUAAAGCCUGUCUCAGUUCGGAUCGGAGUCUGCAACUCGACUCCGUGAAGUUGGAUUCGCUAGUAAUCGGAUAUCAGCCAUGAUCCGGUGAAUACGUUCCCGGGCCUUGUACACACCGCCCGUCAAACCAUGGAAGCUGGGGGUGCCUGAAGUCUGUCACCGAAAGGAGCGGCCUAGGGUAAAACUGGUAACUAGGGCUAAGUCGUAACAAGGUAGCC